RNAcentral lists this ribosomal RNA (453 nucleotides) under uncultured bacterium. RNAcentral's name for it is "bacterial SSU rRNA". It matches the Rfam family "Bacterial small subunit ribosomal RNA", at positions 28 to 455 of the family's 1533-position model. The record is from RNAcentral.
GACGAACGCUGGCGGCGUGCUUAAUACAUGCAAGUCGAGCGAGCGGAACCAACAGAUUUACUUCGGUAAUGACGUUGGGAAAGCGAGCGGCGGAUGGGUGAGUAACACGUGGGGAACCUGCCCCUAAGUCUGGGAUACCAUUUGGAAACAGGUGCUAAUACCGGAUAAUAAAGCAGAUCGCAUGAUCAGCUCUUGAAAGGCGGCGUAAGCUGUCGCUAAGGGAUGGCCCCGCGGUGCAUUAGCUAGUUGGUAAGGUAACGGCUUACCAAGGCGACGAUGCAUAGCCGAGUUGAGAGACUGAUCGGCCACAUUGGGACUGAGACACGGCCCAAACUCCUACGGGAGGCAGCAGUAGGGAAUCUUCCACAAUGGACGCAAGUCUGAUGGAGCAACGCCGCGUGAGUGAAGAAGGUUUUCGGAUCGUAAAGCUCUGUUGUUGGUGAAGAAGGAUAG